This 645-nucleotide ribosomal RNA is filed under the name uncultured bacterium. RNAcentral describes it as "bacterial SSU rRNA". It matches the Rfam family "Bacterial small subunit ribosomal RNA", at positions 97 to 777 of the family's 1533-position model. The record is from RNAcentral.
AGCAGACGGGUGAGUAACACGUGGGAACCUUCCAUUUAGUAAAGAAUAGCCCAGGGAAACCUGGAUUAAUACUUUAUACGCCCUUCGGGGGAAAGAUUUAUCGCUAAAUGAUGGGCCCGCGUUAGAUUAGGUAGUUGGUGGGGUAAUGGCCUACCAAGCCUACGAUCUAUAGCUGGUCUGAGAGGAUGAUCAGCCACACUGGGACUGAGACACGGCCCAGACUCCUACGGGAGGCAGCAGUGGGGAAUAUUGGACAAUGGGCGCAAGCCUGAUCCAGCAACGCCGCGUGAAUGAUGAAGGCCUUCGGGUCGUAAAGUUCUUUUAGCAGGGAAGAAAAUGACGGUACCUGCAGAAUAAGCACCGGCUAACUUCGUGCCAGCAGCCGCGGUAAUACGAAGGGUGCUAGCGUUGUUCGGAAUUACUGGGCGUAAAGCGUGCGUAGGUUGUAUGGUUAGUUAGUGGUGAAAGCCCGGGGCUUAACUCCGGAAUUGCCAUUAAAACUGCCAUGCUAGAGAGUGUUAGAGGUAAGUGGAAUUCCUAGUGUAGGAGUGAAAUCCGUAGAUAUUAGGAGGAACAUCAAUGGCGAAGGCAGCUUACUGGGUCACAUCUGACACUGAGGCACGAAAGCGUGGGUAGCAAACAGGA